This 237-nucleotide long non-coding RNA is filed under the name Phoenix dactylifera (date palm). RNAcentral's name for it is "long non-coding RNA (PDAC_LNC000106)". The record is from RNAcentral. Lineage: Eukaryota; Viridiplantae; Streptophyta; Magnoliopsida; Arecales; Arecaceae.
CAGGCAUAUAUUUUGUCAUUCAGAUCAUAUGAUAGUUGAAUUUUAUUUCUUGGUUUUAUCUUCUUGAUCACUGAAAUUUGCAUUUGUUGCUUGUUUAACAGAAACCUCACAACUUGAAAUUGGAAACAUAAGUACAUUAACUUAUUCUGUUGUUACAGAUGACAGUACAUUAUGAAUACUAAUAUUGACUCGACCAGUUUCAGAAUGAAGAAAAGAGGAGCCUCAUGAUGCUCCUUG